This 159-nucleotide ribosomal RNA is filed under the name uncultured Pseudomonadota bacterium. RNAcentral's name for it is "uncultured proteobacterium partial 16S ribosomal RNA". It matches the Rfam family "Bacterial small subunit ribosomal RNA", at positions 375 to 525 of the family's 1533-position model. Lineage: Bacteria; Pseudomonadati; Pseudomonadota. The record is from RNAcentral.
GCGCGCAGCCUGAUGCAGCCAUGCCGCGUGUAUGAAGAAGGCCUUCGGGUUGUAAAGUACUUUCAGCGGGGAGGAAGGGAGUAAAGUUAAUACCUUUGCUCAUUGACGUUACCCGCAGAAGAAGCACCGGCUAACUCCGUGCCAGCAGCCGCGGUAAUA